Molecule: ribosomal RNA, 466 nt
Filed under: uncultured bacterium
Lineage: Bacteria
Description: partial 16S ribosomal RNA
Rfam family: Bacterial small subunit ribosomal RNA
Source: RNAcentral
CGAACGCUGGCGGCGUGCUUACCACAUGCACGUCGCCCGGCAAGGCCCUGCUUUUGUGGGGUGCUCGAGUGGCGAACGGGUGAGUAACACGUGAGUAACCUGCCCUUGACUUUGGGAUAACUUCAGGAAACUGGGGCUAAUACCGGAUAGGAGCUCCUGCUGCAUGGUGGGGGUUGGAAAGUUUCGGCGGUUGGGGAUGGACUCGCGGCUUAUCAGCUUGUUGGUGGGGUAGUGGCUUACCAAGGCUUUGACGGGUAGCCGGCCUGAGAGGGUGACCGGCCACAUUGGGACUGAGAUACGGCCCGGACUCCUACGGGAGGCAGCAGUGGGGAAUAUUGCACAAUGGGCGGAAGCCUGAUGCAGCAACGCCGCGUGCGGGAUGACGGCCUUCGGGUUGUAAACCGCUUUCGCCUGUGACGAAGCGUGAGUGACGGUAAUGGGUAAAGAAGCACCGGCUAACUACGUG